Tupaia belangeri chinensis (Chinese tree shrew) is the source of this 308-nucleotide long non-coding RNA. RefSeq lists it as uncharacterized. NCBI's taxonomy places the organism in Eukaryota, Metazoa, Chordata, Mammalia, Scandentia, Tupaiidae. The record is from RefSeq and is a predicted model, not a curated record. The transcript has 3 exons.
UGCAUGCGUAGGGCGGAAGUGCUCUAUGCGCGCGGUCUGCCGGGCCUGGGCGCUCAGGCGAUUUGAACUUUGAGCCUCUGUAGUCCUGAUGAACAGUUCCGCUUUCCUCAAAUUUAUGACGCUCAGAACUUCAAGAAUUGGAGAUUCAUGCAAUUUGAGACCGGUCAUCACUGUGCAGUUCAGAGUACUAAGAGACUGAGAUUAAAAUGGCUUCCAGAGGAAAGACAGAGACAAGCAAAUUAAAGCAGAAUUUAGAAGAACAGCUGGAUAGACUAAUGCAGCAGUUACAAGAUUUGGAGGAAUGCAGG